Molecule: ribosomal RNA, 499 nt
Filed under: uncultured bacterium
Lineage: Bacteria
Description: partial 16S ribosomal RNA
Rfam family: Bacterial small subunit ribosomal RNA
Source: RNAcentral
GACGAACGCUGGCGGCGUGCCUAAUACAUGCAAGUCGAGCGAAGUUUUUCUGGUGCUUGCACUAGAAAAACUUAGCGGCGAACGGGUGAGUAACACGUAAAGAACCUGCCUCAUAGACUGGGACAACUAUUGGAAACGAUAGCUAAUACCGGAUAACAGUAUUUCUCGCAUGAGAGAUAUUUAAAAGUUGGUUAUGCUAACACUAUGAGAUGGCUUUGCGGUGCAUUAGCUAGUUGGUGGGGUAAAGGCCCACCAAGGCGACGAUGCAUGGCCGACCUGAGAGGGUGAUCGGCCACACUGGGACUGAGACACGGCCCAGACUCCUACGGGAGGCAGCAGUAGGGAAUCUUCCGCAAUGGGCGAAAGCCUGACGGAGCAACGCCGCGUGAGUGAAGAAGGAUUUCGGUUCGUAAAGCUCUGUUGUUAGGGAAGAAUGGAUAUGUAGUAACUAUACAUGUAAGAGACGGUACCUAACCAGAAAGCCACGGCUAACUACGUG